ACGCACGCUGGCGGCGUGCUUAACACCUGCAAGUCGAACGCUGAACCCGGAGCUUGCUCUGGGGGAUUAGUGGCGAACGGGUGAGUAACACGUGAGUAACCUGCCCUGGACUCUGGGAUAAGCGUUGGAAACGACGUCUAAUACCGGAUAGGACCUUGGAUCGCAUGAUCUGGGGUGGAAAGUUUUUUCGGUCUGGGAUGGACUCGCGGCCUAUCAGCUUGUUGGUGAGGUAAUGGCUCACCAAGGCGUCGACGGGUAGCCGGCCUGAGAGGGGGACCGGCCACACUGGGACUGAGACACGGCCCAGACUCCUACGGGAGGCAGCAGUGGGGAAUAUUGCACAAUGGGCGAAAGCCUGAUGCAGCAACGCCGCGUGCGGGAUGACGGCCUUCGGGUUGUAAACCGCUUUUAGUAGGGAAGAAGGGCUUCGGCUUGACGGUACCUGCAGAAAAAGGACCGGCUAACUACGUG
Molecule: ribosomal RNA, 471 nt
Filed under: uncultured bacterium
Lineage: Bacteria
Description: partial 16S ribosomal RNA
Rfam family: Bacterial small subunit ribosomal RNA
Source: RNAcentral